RNAcentral lists this ribosomal RNA (637 nucleotides) under uncultured Caryophanales bacterium. RNAcentral describes it as "bacterial SSU rRNA". It matches the Rfam family "Bacterial small subunit ribosomal RNA", at positions 8 to 637 of the family's 1533-position model. The record is from RNAcentral. Lineage: Bacteria; Bacillati; Bacillota; Bacilli; Caryophanales.
AGAGUUUGAUCCUGGCUCAGGACGAACGCUGGCGGCGUGCCUAAUACAUGCAAGUCGAGCGAAGAAGAGAGAGCUUGUUCUCGAAUCUUAGCGGCGGACGGGUGAGUAACACGUAGGCAACCUGCCUGUAAGCCUGGGAUAACUCCGGGAAACCGGAGCUAAUACCAGAUAAACCGUUAGACCGCAUGGUCUAACGAUAAAAGGAUGCGAUUCCACUUACAGAUGGACCUGCGGCGCAUUAGCUCGUUGGUGAGGUAACGGCUCACCAAGGCAACGAUGCGUAGCCGACCUGAGAGGGUGACCGGCCACACUGGGACUGAGACACGGCCCAGACUCCUACGGGAGGCAGCAGUAGGGAAUCUUCGGCAAUGGACGAAAGUCUGACCGAGCAACGCCGCGUGAGUGAUGAAGGUUUUCGGAUUGUAAAACUCUGUUGUCAGGGAAGAACAAACGAGAUAGGAUCUCGUCUUGACGGUACCUGACGAGAAAGCCCCGGCUAACUACGUGCCAGCAGCCGCGGUAAUACGUAGGGGGCAAGCGUUGUCCGGAAUUAUUGGGCGUAAAGCGCGCGCAGGCGGUCCUUUAAGUCCGAUGUGAAAGUCCACGGCUCAACCGUGGGAUUGCAUUGGAAACUGGG